GACGAGGGAUCCUAGCGUUGUUCGGAAUCACUGGGCGUAAAGCGUUUGUAGGCGGCUCUAUAAGUCGGGUGUGAAAUCCCACGGCUCAACCGUGGAAGUGCAUUCGAAACUGCAGAGCUUGAAUAUGGUAGAGGAGAGUAGAAUUCCUGGUGUAGUGGUGAAAUACGUAGAUAUCAGGAGGAACACCGGUGGCGAAGGCGGCUACCUGGCCUAAUACUGACACUGAGGCACGAAAGCGUGGGGAGCAAACAGG
Molecule: ribosomal RNA, 253 nt
Filed under: uncultured bacterium
Lineage: Bacteria
Description: partial 16S ribosomal RNA
Rfam family: Bacterial small subunit ribosomal RNA
Source: RNAcentral